This 64-nucleotide transfer RNA is filed under the name Imantodes cenchoa (blunthead tree snake). RNAcentral's name for it is "tRNA-Ala". It matches the Rfam family "tRNA". From Rfam's summary of the family: Transfer RNA (tRNA) molecules are approximately 80 nucleotides in length. Their secondary structure includes four short double-helical elements and three loops (D, anti-codon, and T loops). The record is from RNAcentral. Lineage: Eukaryota; Metazoa; Chordata; Lepidosauria; Squamata; Dipsadidae.
AGAGCUUUAGUUUAGUUAAAAUGUCUGUAUUGCAAUCAGGAGAUGUGAUAGUUCGCAAGUUCUG